Molecule: ribosomal RNA, 2429 nt
Filed under: Listeria monocytogenes
Lineage: Bacteria; Bacillati; Bacillota; Bacilli; Caryophanales; Listeriaceae
Description: partial 23S ribosomal RNA
Rfam family: Bacterial large subunit ribosomal RNA
Source: RNAcentral
CUGAGUACGGCGGAACACGUGAAAUUCCGUCGGAAUCCGGGAGGACCAUCUCCCAAGGCUAAAUACUCCCUAGUGACCGAUAGUGAACCAGUACCGUGAGGGAAAGGUGAAAAGCACCCCGGAAGGGGAGUGAAACAGUUCCUGAAACCGUGUGCCUACAAGUAGUUAGAGCCCGUUAAUGGGUGAUAGCGUGCCUUUUGUAGAAUGAACCGGCGAGUUACGAUUUGUUGCAAGGUUAAGCGGAAAAAGCGGAGCCGUAGCGAAAGCGAGUCUGAAUAGGGCGCAUAAGUAACAGGUCGUAGACCCGAAACCAGGUGAUCUACCCAUGUCCAGGAUGAAGGUAAGGUAAUACUUACUGGAGGUCCGAACCCACGCACGUUGAAAAGUGCGGGGAUGAGGUGUGGGUAGCGGAGAAAUUCCAAUCGAACUUGGAGAUAGCUGGUUCUCUCCGAAAUAGCUUUAGGGCUAGCCUCGAGGUAAAGAGUCAUGGAGGUAGAGCACUGUUUGGACUAGGGGCCCUUCUCGGGUUACCGAAUUCAGAUAAACUCCGAAUGCCAUGUACUUAUACUCGGGAGUCAGACUGCGAGUGAUAAGAUCCGUAGUCGAAAGGGAAACAGCCCAGACCACCAGUUAAGGUCCCCAAAUAUAUGUUAAGUGGAAAAGGAUGUGGGGUUGCUUAGACAACCAGGAUGUUGGCUUAGAAGCAGCCACCAUUGAAAGAGUGCGUAAUAGCUCACUGGUCGAGUGACCCCGCGCCGAAAAUGUACCGGGGCUAAACAUAUUACCGAAACUGUGGAUGAACCUCUUUAGAGGUUCGUGGUAGGAGAGCGUUCUAAGGGCGGUGAAGUCAGACCGGAAGGACUGGUGGAGCGCUUAGAAGUGAGAAUGCCGGUAUGAGUAGCGAAAGAAGGGUGAGAAUCCCUUCCACCGAAUAUCUAAGGUUUCCUGAGGAAGGCUCGUCCGCUCAGGGUUAGUCGGGACCUAAGCCGAGGCCGAUAGGCGUAGGCGAUGGACAACAGGUAGAGAUUCCUGUACCAGUGCUAAUUGUUUAACCGAUGGGGUGACACAGAAGGAUAGGGAAUCGCACGAAUGGAAAUGUGCGUCCAAGCAGUGAGUGUGAGAAGUAGGCAAAUCCGCUUCUCGCGAAGCAUGAGCUGUGAUGGGGAAGGAAAUUAAGUACGGAAGUUCCUGAUUUCACGCUGUCAAGAAAAGCCUCUAGGAAGAGUAGUACUGCCCGUACCGCAAACCGACACAGGUAGAUGAGGAGAGAAUCCUAAGGUGAGCGAGAGAACUCUCGUUAAGGAACUCGGCAAAAUGACCCCGUAACUUCGGGAGAAGGGGUGCUCUAUUAGGGUGCAAGCCCGAGAGAGCCGCAGUGAAUAGGCCCAGGCGACUGUUUAGCAAAAACACAGGUCUCUGCAAAACCGUAAGGUGACGUAUAGGGGCUGACGCCUGCCCGGUGCUGGAAGGUUAAGAGGAGUGCUUAGCUUCGGCGAAGGUACGAAUUGAAGCCCCAGUAAACGGCGGCCGUAACUAUAACGGUCCUAAGGUAGCGAAAUUCCUUGUCGGGUAAGUUCCGACCCGCACGAAAGGCGCAACGAUCUGGGCACUGUCUCAACGAGAGACUCGGUGAAAUUAUAGUACCUGUGAAGAUGCAGGUUACCCGCGACAGGACGGAAAGACCCCGUGGAGCUUUACUGCAACCUGAUAUGGAAUGUUUGUACCGCUUGUACAGGAUAGGUAGGAGCCGAAGAGACGUGUGCGCUAGCAUACGAGGAGGCAAUGGUGGGAUACUACCCUGGCUGUAUGACCAUUCUAACCCGCCACGCUUAGCGCGUGGGGAGACAGUGUCAGGUGGGCAGUUUGACUGGGGCGGUCGCCUCCUAAAGAGUAACGGAGGCGCCCAAAGGUUCCCUCAGAAUGGAUGGAAAUCAUUCGCAGAGUGUAAAGGCACAAGGGAGCUUGACUGCGAGACUGACAAGUCGAGCAGGGACGAAAGUCGGGCUUAGUGAUCCGGUGGUUCCGCAUGGAAGGGCCAUCGCUCAACGGAUAAAAGCUACCCCGGGGAUAACAGGCUUAUCUCCCCCAAGAGUCCACAUCGACGGGGAGGUUUGGCACCUCGAUGUCGGCUCGUCGCAUCCUGGGGCUGUAGUCGGUCCCAAGGGUUGGGCUGUUCGCCCAUUAAAGCGGCACGCGAGCUGGGUUCAGAACGUCGUGAGACAGUUCGGUCCCUAUCCGUCGCGGGCGCAGGAAAUUUGAGAGGAGCUGUCCUUAGUACGAGAGGACCGGGAUGGACACACCGCUGGUGUACCAGUUGUUCCGCCAGGAGCAUCGCUGGGUAGCUAUGUGUGGCAGGGAUAAACGCUGAAAGCAUCUAAGCGUGAAGCCCCCCUCAAGAUGAGAUUUCCCAUUUCUUCGGAAAGUAAGAU